UGGGGAAUAUUGCACAAUGGGCGCAAGCCUGAUGCAGCCAUGCCGCGUGUAUGAAGAAGGCCUUCGGGUUGUAAAGUACUUUCAGCGGAGGAGGAGGCAUUAAGGUUAAUAACCUUAGUGAUUGACGUUACUCGCAGAAGAAGCACCGGCUAACUCCGUGCCAGCAGCCGCGGUAAUACGGAGGGUGCAAGCGUUAAUCGGAAUUACUGGGCGUAAAGCGCACGCAGGCGGUCUGUCAAGUCGGAUGUGAAAUCCCCGGGCUCAACCUGGGAACUGCAUCCGAAACUGGCAGGCUAGAGUCUUGUAGA
This 308-nucleotide ribosomal RNA is filed under the name uncultured Enterobacteriaceae bacterium. RNAcentral describes it as "bacterial SSU rRNA". It matches the Rfam family "Bacterial small subunit ribosomal RNA", at positions 355 to 655 of the family's 1533-position model. The record is from RNAcentral. Lineage: Bacteria; Pseudomonadati; Pseudomonadota; Gammaproteobacteria; Enterobacterales; Enterobacteriaceae.